This 253-nucleotide ribosomal RNA is filed under the name Segatella copri DSM 18205. RNAcentral describes it as "Prevotella copri DSM 18205 partial 16S ribosomal RNA". It matches the Rfam family "Bacterial small subunit ribosomal RNA", at positions 524 to 776 of the family's 1533-position model. The record is from RNAcentral. Lineage: Bacteria; Pseudomonadati; Bacteroidota; Bacteroidia; Bacteroidales; Prevotellaceae.
UACGGGAGGUCCGGGCGUUAUCCGGAUUUAUUGGGUUUAAAGGGAGCGUAGGCCGGAGAUUAAGCGUGUUGUGAAAUGUAGACGCUCAACGUCUGCACUGCAGCGCGAACUAGUUUCCUUGAGUACGCACAAAGUGGGCGGAAUUCGUGGUGUAGCGGUGAAAUGCUUAGAUAUCACGAAGAACUCCGAUUGCGAAGGCAGCUCACUGGAGCGCAACUGACGCUGAAGCUCGAAAGUGCGGGUAUCGAACAGG